AUUGUGGGGGGUCAAUUUUUUCUCAUUUCAGAUUUCAGAAAUUAAAAAGAAUUAUUCUUCAAAUAUUAUUUUUUUUUCAAAUUUCAAAUAUUGAAAAAUUUCAAGAAGAAAUCUUUAAUUGCACAGUAUGGCGCAUUAGAUUUGUAAAAUCUUUGACCACAUUUAUUUAUUUGUUAUGAUGAAUCUAACUGUGUAUUUAGAUUUUUAAUAUUGGGUCCAGUUUUCAAAUUGGUCUACAUUAAGGUCCAAAGGGUCCAAAAUUAAACUUUGUUUGAUUUUAACAAAAAUUGAAUAUAUGGGGUUCUUUGAUAUGCUGAAUCUAAACAUGUAUUUAGAUUUUUGAUUUUUGGCCCAGUUUUCAAGUUGGUCCAAAUUGGGGUCCAAAAUUAAACUUUGUUUGAUUUCAACAAAAAUUGAAUAUAUGGGGUUCUUUGAUAUGCUGAAUCUUACCAUGUAUUUAGAUUUUUUAUUUGUGGGCCCGCUAUCAAAUUGGUUCAUAUUGAGGUCAAAAGGGUCCAAAAUUAAAUUUUGUUUGAUUUCAUCAAAAAUUGAAUUCUUGGGGUUCUUUGAUAUGCCAAAUCUAACCGUGUUUUUAGAUUUUUAAUUUUGGGUCCCAUUUUUAAAUUGGUCUACAUUUAGGUCCAAAGGGUCCAAAAUUAAACUUAGUUUGAUUUUAACAAAAAUUGAAUUCUUGGGGUACUUUGAUAUGCUGAAUCUAAACAUGUGUUUAGAUUUUUGAUUAUGGGACCAGUUUUCAAGUUUGUCCAAGUUGGGGUCCAAAAUUAUACUUUGUUUGAUUUCAACAAAAAUUGAAUAUAUGGGGUUCUUUGGUAUGCUGAAUCUAACCAUGUAUUUUGAUUUUGGAAAUUGGACCAUAAUAGGUAAAUUAAAAAAAUUGAAGUUCUUAGACCACAUUCUUUCUGUGUCAGAAACCUAUGCUGUGUCAAAUAUUUAAUCACAAUCCAAAUUCAGAGCUGUAUCAAGCUUGAAUGUUGUGUCCAUACUUGCCCCAACUGUUCAGGGUUCGACCUCUGCGGUCGUAUCAAGCUGCGCCCAGCGAAGCAUUUUAUUGAUUAUGGGCCCAGUUUUCAAGUUUGUCCAAGUUGGAGUCCAAAAUUUAACUUUGUUUGAUUUCAACAAAAAUUGAAUAUAUGGGGUUCUUUGAUAUGCUGAAUCUAAACAUGUAUUUAGAUUUUAGAUUUUUGGCCCAGUUUUCAAGUUGGUCCAAAUUGGGGUCCAAAAUUAAACUUUGUUUGAUUUCAACAAAAAUUGAAUAUAUGGGGUUCUUUGAUAUGCUGAAUCUAACUUUGUAUUUAGAUUUUUUAUUUGUGGACCCCGUUAUCAAAUUGGUUCAUAUUGAGGUCAAAAGGGUCCAAAAUCAAACUUUGUUUGAUUUCAACAAAAAUUGAAUAUAUGGGGUUCUUUGAUAUGCUGUAUCUAACUAUGUAUUUAGAUUUUUGAUUUUUGGGCCCCGUUAUCAACUUUGUCCACAUUGAGGUCAAAAGGGUCCAAAAUUAAACUUAGUUUGAUUUUAACAAAAAUUGAAUUCUUGGGGUUCUUUGAUAUGCUGAAUCUAAACAUGUGUUUAGAUUUUUGAUAAUGGGCCCAGUUUUCAAAAUGGUCCAAGUUGGGGUCCAAAAUUAAACUUUGUUUGAUUUCAACAAAAAAUGAAUAUAUGGGGUUCUUUGAUAUGCUGAAUCUAAACAUGUAUUUAGAUUUUAGAUUUUUGGCCCAGUUUUCAAGUUGGUCCAAAUUGGGGUCCAAAAUUAAACUUUGUUUGAUUUCAACAAAAAUUGAAUAUAUGGGGUUCUUUGAUAUGCUGAAUCUUACCAUGUAUUUAGAUUUUUUAUUUGUGGGCCCGCUAUCAAAUUGGUUCAUAUUGAGGUCAAAAGGGUCCAAAAUUAAACUUUGUUUGAUUUCAUCAAAAAUUGAAUUAUUGGGGUUCUUUGAUAUGCCAAAUCUAACCGUAUUUUUAGAUUUUUAAUUUUGGGUCCUGUUUUUAUACGACCGCAAAAAAAUUUUGUGGUCAUAUAUUGGUAUGACGUUGGCGUUGUCGUCGUCGUCGUCGUCGUCGUCGUCCGAAGACAUACUGGUUUUCGCACUCUAACUUUAGUUUAAGUUAAUGGAUCUUUUUGAAAUUUGACCAUAAGGUUAAAUACCACAAAAGGAAGGUUGGGAUUGAUUUUGGGGGUUAUGGUACCAACAGUUAAGGAAUUAGGGGCCAAAAAGGGGCCAAAAAUAAGCAUUUUCUAGUUUCCAGACAAUAACUGUGGAACGGUGUAUGGAUCUCUCUGAAAUUAAACUACAAGUUUCCAUACCACAAAGGGAUGGUUAGGAUUUGCUUUGGGGGGUUAUGGCUCAAACCGUUUAGGAAUUAGGGGCAAAAAGGGGGAAAAACAAGGUUGUCCUGGUUAAUGGACAAAUACUUUUGUACAAAACAUAAUUUAAAGCAGUGUAAGGGAGAUAAAUCAAAUACAUCAUUGAGAUUAUCUCCCUUACACUGCUUUUAAAUUAUGUAUAAAGUAAUGGUUAAUGAACAAUAAAGAUAAUUUAAAACAGUGUAAGGGAGGUAAUCAAAAUACAACGUUUUGGUUACUUCCCUUACACUGCUUUUAAAUUAUGUUUAAAGAAAUGCAUAUCUAUAAAGGAAGACCAGUAAAAAUAUCUGCAAAUGUUGCAUCUUUUUUUUUUACAAAAAAAUCCAUAUGAAAGAUUUGACAGUAUAUUUUUAAUUCUAUUAUAAAAUAGAUUAAGUUAGCACUAUGGUAAAUUUAAAUGGGUAAUUAUGGUUGCCAACUCCAUUGGAAAUUUGAAUUGAGAUUAUGACCAUAUCUUGAGGGAAAGAAUUUUUUUGGGGAAAAAAGGGGGGGGGAUAAAAAGAAAUUGUGGGGGGUCAAUUUUUUCUCAUUUUAGAUUUCAGAAAUUAAAAAGAAUUAUUCUUCAAAUAUUUUUUUUUUUUCAAAUUUCAAAUAUUGAAAAAUUUCAAGAAGUAAUCUUUAAUUGCACAGUAUGGCGCAUUAGAUUUGUAAAAUCUUUGAUCACAUUUAUUUAUUUGUUAUGCCGAAUCUAACAGUGUAUUUAAAUUUUUUAUUUUGGGUCCAGUUUUCAAAUUGGUCUACAUUAAGGUCCAAAGGGUCCAAAAUUAAACUUUGUUUGAUUUUAGCAAAAAUUGAAUAUAUGAGGUUCUUUGAUAUGCUGAAUCUAAACAUGUAUUUAGAUUUUUGAUUUUUUGGCCCAGUUUUCAAGUUGUUCCAAAUUGGGGUCCAAAAUUUAACUUUGUUUGAUUUCAACAAAAAUUGAAUAUGUGGGGUUCUUUGAUAUGCUGAAUCUAACCAUGUAUUUGGAUUUUUUAUUUGUGGACCCCGUUAUCAAAUUGGUUCAUAUUGAGGUCAAAAGGGUCCAAAAUUAAACUUUGUUUGAUUUCAUCUAAAAUUGAAGUAUUGGGGUUCUUUGAUAUUCCAAAUCUAACCGUGUAUUUAGAUUUUUAAUUUUUGGUCCUGUUUUUUAAAUUUGUCUUCAUUGAGGUCCAAAGGGUCCAAAAUUAAACUUAGUUUGAUUUUAACAAAAAUUGAAUUCUUGGGGUUCUUUGAUAUUCCAAAUCUAACCGUGUAUUUAGAUUUUUAAUUUCAAGUCCCGUUUUUAAAUUGGUCUACAUUAAGGUCCAAAGGGUCCAAAAUUAAACUUAGUUUGAUUUUAACAAAAAUUGAAUUCUUGGGGUUCUUUGAUAUGCUGAAUCUAAACAUGUGUUUAGAUUUUUGAUUAUGGGCCCAGUUUUCAAGUUUGUCCAAGUUGGAGUCCAAAAUUAAACUUUGUUUGAUUUCAACAAAAAUUGAAUAUAUGGGGUUCUUUGAUAUGCUGAAUCUAACCAUGUAUUUUGAUUUUGGACAUUGGACCAUAAUAGGUAAAUUAAAAUAAUACAAGUUCUUAGACCACAUUCUUUCUGUGUCAGAAACCUAUGUUGUGUCAAAUAUUUAAUCACAAUCCAAAUUCAGAGCAGUAUCAAGCUUGAAUGUUGUGUCCAUACUUGCCCCAACUGUUCAGGGUUCGACCUCUGCGGUCGUAUCAAGCUGCGCCCAGCGAAGCAUUUUAUAAUUUCUUCAUGCUUGAAGAUAUUGAUUUGAUAAUUGAUAUAUUGUUUUAGCAUGACAAGUUACAGAUCAAAUUCGUAUUUUGUUCCGGUCUGAUAAUUUUGUGCAGAGCUAUGGUCCUUGGACUUAGAAAAUUCACUCAAAUAAUCAGUUUUUCACACUUUUUUUGGUCAUGCUUGAAGAUAUUGAUUUGAUAAUUUGUAUAUAGUUUUAUCAUGACAAGUUACUGACCAAGUUCGAAUUUUGUUCCGGUCUGAUGAUUUUGUGCAGAAUUAUGGUCCUUGGACCUAGAAAAUUCACUCAAAUAAUCAGUUUUCACACUUUUUUUUCGUCAUGCUUGAAGAUAUUGAUUUGAUAAUUGAUAUAUAGUUUUAUCAUGACAAGUUACAGACCAAGUUCGAAUUUUGUUUCGAUCUGAUGAUUUUGUGCAGAGUUAUGUCCUUGGACUUAGAAAAUUCACUUAAAUAA
Molecule: long non-coding RNA, 4556 nt
Organism: Mytilus californianus (California mussel)
Lineage: Eukaryota; Metazoa; Mollusca; Bivalvia; Mytilida; Mytilidae
Exons: 2
Source: RefSeq, a predicted model, not a curated record